CAGCUUGGCUCUUUCCUCUGCAAAAGUUAAUUACUUCAAUACCCUCAUAACCACACUCUCCCACGAACCCAAACGACUAUUUCACACAUUUAACUCUCUUCUUCACCCUGCUGUUCCUCCUCCACCUACUAACUUGACCGCCUCAGACUUUGCAACUCACUUCACUGACAAGAUCUCUACAAUCAGAGAAGAGAUCUCUCAUCUCUCUUCUUCCCCUUACAAUACUUCCCCUAACUUCAC
This is a non-coding RNA of Pelobates cultripes (western spadefoot toad), 240 nucleotides long. The record is from the annotation of a GenBank genome assembly. NCBI's taxonomy places the organism in Eukaryota, Metazoa, Chordata, Amphibia, Anura, Pelobatidae.